UUCCUCCGCUGCUCAGAGCCCAGAAGCCUCCUCCGGCGGCGGCAGUGUCGGCGGGGAUGAGCACGAGGAACUCCGUCGUGACGGCGCACAAGCCCGCCAGCGCCAGCCACUCCCGCGUCGGCAGCUUCACCAGCUCAGCCUCAUCGUCGCGUACGCACCCGCACAACCCUCCCUCCCUCCCUCCCCUCCCCGCACAAUCCCCAGCUUAUUGUGUAGCCCCGGACGUGUUCCUGGUCUCGGGGGACGUCCUCUACUGUUUUGGUUCGAGUCCGUGGGGGCGCUGGCGGGCGGCUGCCCUAGGGUUUUGCUCCCGGCCAGAGUGCACGCGCGCGCGUGACUGCGCCUGAUUCGUUUCGCCCCUGGGGCCCGGGCUGGGCUGCCCCCGCGGCUCCUCUCCGGCGAGUUGUUCGGGAGGAUCUGGGGCAGUGUGGUGUGCAGCCCUAGGGCACUGUAUUGGUGUUCUGUAUAGGUCGUUGGGCCAGGGCAAAAUGGCACUGCAGUCUGCACCCCCAGCACGCGUAGCCUGAUAACAGGGAAAUUGUGCGCGACCCACAUGACGGUAUCGUCGGAAUGCAGCGACAUUGAUUUACGCACGCUUGGCAACACAGAGCUUUAUAGUGUUCACUGAAACUGAUCCAUCAGCAACAGGCUUGUGAUUUGCAGUUAAUUAGAUGGCACUGUUUUUCUGUGCUGUGUGUACCUGUUAAAUCCUUCUGCUAAAUGCCGCAGACUGCCAAACCUUUCAGGAAAUGCGCCCGCUCUCACGCCGCAGGGCCUUCAUUCAGGUUAGUGAUGGAUGUCACGUCGUCGAGGGCCGGCGACCUGUCUUUUUGUUUGCAUGUUAAUCCGCUACUGUAACAGUCCAUCAUGCACUUCACAUCUGCUUCUCCUUACCUAGGAACUAGAAAAGUAUUCUGAAACUAAAAAGAAUCCACAUUUGUAUUACUCAUUUGCCCAAGAAUAGAGAUUACGUCAGCUGAUUUUGCAACCGAGGAGAGCGGCAAAGCCCCAAGCUCUAAACGGGGACGCCGCAGCCGCCCGUGACGUUACCGGCGGAGGAGAGACAGGGGGUAGGGGGCAGGAGGUGGAAGGAGAAGAAAUCGGCCGGGAGGAGGAAAAAGAGCCGCAGCCGUUGGAUUGAAAUUCAUGAAAUCCAACGGUUGGGAACUUGGGAUAGAGAGGUAAUCGACUGAAAGCAAAAAUAAAUAAAUAGAAUCAGGCGUCUGACCUGUAGGUGCUCCCAAAAGGAAUCUUGAUUUACGUUAGUGUAUGUAUACAUCUCUUUGCCAUGCUUCCCCACACACAUUGUCUCAGGAACAAUACAUAUAUGUAGCUAAAAUUUAAAGUGGCAACUCCAACAAAUUGUUUGUAUGUUAGUAACCUAGUAUUACGCCGUGAGGGCAACACUAAUCUUGAUUUACGUUUUUGGGAAUUAACGUUCUCUAACUGAUACCCAAUAAUACCCCUUUAAAUCUUGCACCACGCUGCCCGCUCUCGUAGUUCGUUGCCGCCUCCCUCCUCCAUAGCCACCCCAUGCCUCAAGCCGCCUCUUGGCAUGGACACCGUCGCCCUGAACCUGGCGGCGGCAACCAAGCUCAACCAUGAGCUCGUCUGUACCCCACACCCACACAGGCCGAUUUGUCUCCUGAGAGUCAGUUUGAAAAUUUUCAUAAAGGUAGCCACAGAUAGGCUCAACGCGGCGGCUGACCACGAGCUCGUCUGUACCCCACACCCACACAGGCCGAUUUGUCUCCUGAGAGUCAGUUUGAAAAUUUUCAUAAAGGUAGCCACAGAUAGCCUCAACGCGGCGGCUGACCACGUGGUCCACCUGUCUCAAACUACAUUCAUGCAAGGAAGAAACAUCGAGCAGUUAUCCUACAUGAGACCGUCCAUGAGAUGCGCCGGAAAAACAUGAGUGGGUGAUCUUUUAAGAUGGACUGUGCUCUUUGCAGGUGUGUAAUCCACUGUGUGUGCGUUGCUGUUGGAUGUCUGCAUCCUAGUAAUGCAGAGGCCAGGUGUGUGCUCGUUGUGCCUAUACCUUUGAUAUGACCUUAUGAGUCAAUAGAAAGCACCCUUUAUCGGGAAAAAAAACACACUAAAAAAGGGCUGAAGUUGUUUUUACCAUUGUUGAGCUUGCCAGUUAUCUAUGAAGGUACAGCAGCAAUCAUGGUACCUACGCAAGUAAACUGAAUACAAUGUUCAUGUUCCGAAAAAAUGGACUAAAUAAUCCAAUGCACCUUUUCUUUUGUAUCUGCUAGUUGAAUCACUUCUACUGUGACUCACAAUCCUUGGGGGACCCAAUCCUCCUCUUUGAGUCAUCGCAGUAAUCAUAGACCUUGGAGUUGGCAGCCACCUCCUUCAGUUGCUGUUGCUGCGUCUGGUCCAGUUCCGUGCCGAACGAACCAGGGGAGCUCUGGCCACAGGCCUUGGAGCUUGGAGAACAGGCGGUGGCCUUGUAGUUCCGGAAGUAUGCUGUGAACGGCGCUAGUGACCAGUCAGUCUUGACCCGCCCACCCUGUGUCGCCCAGUCAUCUGCAUUCCAGAUGGUGCUGUACACCCUCAUUGGUUGAUAGUUUGGAUAGGGGGCACCAAACAUCAUCUGGUUCUUGAUCUGCCGGAGCAGCUUGUUAUCGACAAGGAUUCUGCAACCCAGCAACAUCCAUAUGAGCUAGGCUUAGUGCAUGCAAAUACCUUUUCGAUCUAAAAAUUAUUUAACAUGUCCGACUAAACUGAGCAUUCAUGCUUCAUUUGGAACCAGAUGCUAUUUAGAUAGGAGGGGUUAGCUUAGCUAAGCAGGUAUUAGGUUGAACAAGAAUCGAGUAGAUAGGAGUGGGGCUCACCGGAUGUAUUGUUGGGUCCAAAUGAUGCUAUAGGUGUGGAAGUCCUGGGAGGGAUCAAACCAAAGCCGGUACCCCUUCUCUCUGCUGCCUACGCCUCUGGCAUACACAUUGGUGUGCAGGGUGUAGGGGUUGCCGGUGCUGUUCCCCAAGAAUUCAAGGUCGAUCUCAUCGUGGUAUUGCCAUGGUCCCUCCGACAUCAUCUGUUCCCAGAUUGCAAUGCAAGAUGGUUAGUCUUAGUAUUGACAAGUUGACACAAACGACGUUAAUCAGUCCAUCACUUACAUAAAAUGUUGUCACUGUGCCGGCUGAGUUCCCGGGCAUGAGCUUGAUUUCCAUGUCAAUCCUCCCAAAGAGGUACUUGAGUUUCGAGCUGAAUCCGGAGGUUGUGCUGCGGUCGAGACUCAUCGCGACAGUCUGUCGGCCGGCGCCAUCACGGACAACGUUGCACUUGCCCCACAGGAGAUUGACCUCGUCGGUGAUGUCGGCAGUGACCUGAGGGGUGGCCAGGGCGACGAGGUAGAAUGCCGCUAGGGAGGCUAGGAGGUAAGCCCUAGCCUGGCCCAUGGUUUUGGUGGUGUUAAGAGAGGGAGCACUGGGACUGGGCGCAGUGUGAUUGUGCUGCUCGUUAAUGUUAUGGGCGGGCUUAUAUGUAGAAAGAGGUGCAGGGGAGAUUAGGGCUUAUGUGGAAAGAGGUGCAGGGGAGAUUAGUUGGUCCAAGACUAAACAGGGUGAACUUUAAUAGUAAUUAUUCUCGGAAGAUGUAAGAAACUGGAGACAAUUGUGAAGCAGGCGGGUAUAAAAAAUCUUGAUGACUGGGCUUCAUUUAAAGCUUGAGCAGUGAUCGAGUUGAGUGGACUAAUGGUUCAUUUAAAGCUUGAGCAGUGACUGAGCUGAGUUGACUAAUGGUUCUAGGGCUCUAUCAUGGCAACAACCUGUGAGUGGCGGGGCCUACCGUACCGUGGCUUCUGGCAGACUAGGCUGGUUCUCCAGCAAGUUGAAGAAGUAUAUGAGACUGAUGGAUGGCUUUUAUUACUUUCAUUCUUUGUUGUGGCACAGUUUUACUUUUACAUAUCAAAUCACUAGAUCCACUGACUAUUUCAAUAUGUGAACUCAGUCAUAAAGCAUCUUGCUUUCCCAAGCCCUCUAAAUUUGUACGUCUCACAUCUAGGUCAGUGAUUAUCUUCAUCUCCUCCAGCACCCGGUCACAAUUCAGAAUCAUUUGUUGCAGUUCCAAGCCCUGCACUAACUUUCAGAUAUGUGCAGUUUCUUGCAUUCAGACUUCUGUUGUCUACUGGUUGUUCUCUCUCUCAAAAAGAAAAGAAAUGUAUACUGCUUGUUCGGUGGAUCCUCUGAAAGAUGCCGCAUUUGUGAGAUUGUGUAACAGUUAGGUUUGUUAUAGAUGAAUCUUUGGAAGGAGUAUGAAAAAACUUGUCAACUAGGUUAGUAUCUACUAGGUUGGGAGAUCUAAUGGUUGAUCUAUUAACUAAUGCAACUAUGAAAAUGUUGAUUCCAUAGGCAUCGAACUGGAAGUCAGAAGGCGAAGUUUGUCAGCUGCACAAAAAACUAAAAAUACUGGAAAAUAGUUACAUGAAAGUUUCUGUAUGCAACCAUGAAAAUGCUGAUGUUCCUCCAUAGGCAUCGAACUGGAAGUCAGAAGGCGAAGUUCGUCAGCUGCGCAUAACGAGGUGCUGCACAAAAAAACUAAAAAAAUUGGAAAAUAGUUACAUGAAAGUUUAUGUUUUAACUGCUGCGCAUGUAUGUGCACUUGCCCCUAUAAACCCUUGGGAGACUCAUUUCUGCACUCUGAGUAGCUGAAAUCUGGUUGGCCAGAUUUGCUGCAUGCUCACAGGAAGUCAUACCGGUGCUUGUUCGAUCUGGAAUCUGAAGUUUUCCAUACUGUCAGAAUCCCUAUAUUAUAGGAGCAUUGCAUGUUACAAAGCAUUUGCACUUGACUUGUCUUUGAAUUAUUUUUGCAUUACGAAAUGAAUAUAACUACCAUAAAGUUAGUUUUGUUAUAUAGUUCUCUUAUCAUGUACUGUCUCAGCAUGAUUUCUCACAAAGUCGGUACAUUUUUGCGAUCCAGGGUGGUGGUGAAGCAAGAGACGGUCUGGUGGUAAACAACAACCAGUUUGUUGAUGAGUGAUUAUACCAAUCCAGCCAUCUUUUCAUUGAGUUUACUGUCAGAAAAUGCAUACAUCUCUGCAGUUAUUUCACAGAUAAAGCAAUUCAUCAUGAUCUGUACAGUUCAUGUCUACACUCUGAGUAGACAUGAUCUGCAGAGGCAUUUGGUUGAGUUGGUGACAGUCUGGCAGAUACACAUGAUCUGCACAGGCAUUUGGUUGACCCUGCAAAUCUAACCAUUUCUUACUGUUGUUGCCAUGUUGGUGUUUGUGCUGAAAGGAUCAUGAAGUGUCCGUGCCUUCGGUACAGGUCUUACAUGGGCCGCAAUUUAUCGAGGUCCGUACAUCUAUGAUGCUCGAAUUAAUGGGCACCAUUUGUCUAUGCGCAACCAGAUGAGCAUACCUAGGGUCCAGAGAUCGCAUCGAUUCUGUGCUGCUGAUCGAGAUUUGAACCAAUGCUAAUUUUUAAAGGCUCUGUGUCUGGCUUUGUGAAUCCUAUGUAGGCAGAGGUAUCUGAGGUCAUUGUGUUGAUGCAAUAAUCUGGAACCGAUAGUUUGUUUGGAUGGAGCACUGUGCAAUACAUACAUUUGUGUCAGAGGAAGAUGGAAAUGUAAAUUUUCUUUUUAAUGCACCAUUUGGAACCAAGGAAUUUUUCCUGGAAAGUUCCUUUUUUGUUUUACCCUAGACACUGGUUUAUUUGAAAUUCUGCAUCUCAAGCUUGAGUUUGUUCGAUUUGCAUAUGGGGACCCUAUGAUGUCUCAGACUCUGGUUCGGAUGCUCCAAAUGAUAAAUGUUUUUGGACAAUGGUUCUACAGGUGCCAAACCAGCAAGUUCCAUUGUGCCCGGUACCAAGACUGUUAGCUGUG
RNAcentral lists this long non-coding RNA (5826 nucleotides) under Triticum aestivum (bread wheat). Its description in RNAcentral is "long non-coding RNA (TAES_LNC016820)". Lineage: Eukaryota; Viridiplantae; Streptophyta; Magnoliopsida; Poales; Poaceae. The record is from RNAcentral.